UUUUAUAAAAGCUUAACAGUACAAGAGGAUUUGAAAGACCAAUACAAACAUUAAGAGCACCUCCAUCGGAGGCUUUUAUAAAAGGUUCUAAAAAAAACCAAAAAAAAUAAAUAAAAAAAAUGAUAAAACAAGAGAACCGCCGUCUAAUAUAGGGCUUUUGGAAUCGGUAAAAACCCCAUACGUGCUUCCUUGGUAUUGGUCGUCUCUCUCUUCCUCGAUGCUUUUUUUUCUCUCAAAAAUCUCGUCGUCGUUCUUUGUUGUUGCUCUCCUCCUGCAAAUCCGUCCAUGAAAUCAAGGUGAAGAUUCGAAUUCUUUGAGUUUUUUGUAUUGAUUUAAAGCUUGUGAACCUCGUUGGAAUUGAAAUUUGGUUUUGAUGUGAGAUUAUCUUGCGGAGGUUUUGGUAUAUGAACCAAGGUAAGGAACAAGAAUCUCUGUUUCUUUUCUGUUUUGUUUUGUUUCCUUCAUUUUUUUUUCACUUUAAUUUGUGAAUUGUGGUGUGAUUGUAUUCUCGUUUAUUGGUCUCCCUCUGCUACUUCAUAGUUAAUAGUUUUGCAGUAUCCUUUAACGUUAUGUUUGUAUUGAUUUGGCUGAUAUUGUGGACAUGUGGUUUUGGAAUACUCUACUUGAUGUUUGACUAGUUCCCUGUUGGUUUAAUGGUUUCAGUUGAGAAAUUCUUGUAGUUGGUUGCUAAUCUGUUUCUCCUUGAUUUGUCAGCGUCAAGUUGGAACGCAUUGUGUAAUUUGCUGAUGAGUCUAUGAGAAACACUUAGGCUUUCCUUUGUAAAUUGUAUUAUAGCUCAUUACUUUCAUUCGUAUCUAAGAAAUCUAGAUGUGCACCUUAUGUGGCAACAGUUUAGUUCACUUACUUGUAGGCCUGCUUCUCACAUCAUUCUGGGACUUGUGGAAUCUAACUUAGUAAAAACACCUGGGAUCCCUCCUUCACUUGAUGAACUACUACUACUGUACAAGUUAGAUUAUUGGUAACUUCUUUUGAUGUUCCACAUUGGUAGCUUCUCCUCUGCUAUAGGACCAAUAGAGUAGUUUCCUUCAAGAAUUUACUCUCUUACAUUACUGUGUUAUUGCUAGCAAAUUGAAAACAAUUAUAUUUGAUGCUUGCAGUGAAGUAAGCGAUACAGAUGACUAUGAUUCAGAUUCCAGCAUCUGCACAAUUAUGUAGUCCUCAACCAACCACCAUUAACAUGGAGUUUUAACAAUGAGCUCGUCCUUUGUGUCUAGCUUCUUUUUAAGCAAUCAAUUCUUUUGUGAUCAA
RNAcentral lists this long non-coding RNA (1269 nucleotides) under Brassica napus (rape). RNAcentral describes it as "long non-coding RNA (BNAP_LNC013774)". The record is from RNAcentral. Lineage: Eukaryota; Viridiplantae; Streptophyta; Magnoliopsida; Brassicales; Brassicaceae.